UGGGGAAUUUUGCGCAAUGGGGGAAACCCUGACGCAGCAACGCCGCGUGGAGGAUGAAAUAUCUUGGUAUGUAAACUCCUUUCGAUGGGGAAGAUUAUGACGGUACCCAUAGAAGAAGCCCCGGCUAACUUCGUGCCAGCAGCCGCGGUAAUACGAGGGGGGCAAGCGUUGUUCGGAUUUAUUGGGCGUAAAGGGUGCGUAGGCGGUUUGGCAAGUCUUAUGUGAAAUCUUCGGGCUCAACCCGAAGCCUGCAUAAGAAACUGCCGGGCUUGAGUAUGGGAGAGGUGAGUGGAAUUUCCGGUGUAGCGGUGAAAUGCGUAGAUAUCUGCAGGAACACCCGUGGCGAAGGCGGCUGACCGGAUCGCAACUGACACUGAGGAACGAAAGCUAGGGGAGCAAACAGGAUUAGAUACCCUGGUAGUCCUAGCCCUAAACCAUCGGAACUUGGGGUGGCCCGCGUAGGCGGGUCGUCCCGUAGCUAACGCGUUAAG
This 491-nucleotide ribosomal RNA is filed under the name uncultured bacterium. Its description in RNAcentral is "bacterial SSU rRNA". It matches the Rfam family "Bacterial small subunit ribosomal RNA", at positions 355 to 864 of the family's 1533-position model. The record is from RNAcentral.